CACUCCUGCGGGAGGCAGCAGUGGGGAAUAUUGGACAAUGGGCGCAAGCCUGAUCCAGCCAUGCCGCGUGAGUGAUGAAGGCCCUAGGGUUGUAAAGCUCUUUCACCGGUGAAGAUAAUGACGGUAACCGGAGAAGAAGCCCCGGCUAACUUCGUGCCAGCAGCCGCGGUAAUACGAAGGGGGCUAGCGUUGUUCGGAUUUACUGGGCGUAAAGCGCACGUAGGCGGACUAUUAAGUCAGGGGUGAAAUCCCGGGGCUCAACCCCGGAACUGCCUUUGAUACUGGUAGUCUGGAGUUCGAGAGAGGUGAGUGGAAUUCCGAGUGUAGAGGUGAAAUUCGUAGAUAUUCGGAGGAACACCAGUGGCGAAGGCGGCUCACUGGCUCGAUACUGACGCUGAGGUGCGAAAGCGUGGGGAGCAAACAGGAUUAGAAACCCUGGUAGUCCCAUG
RNAcentral lists this ribosomal RNA (449 nucleotides) under uncultured organism. Its description in RNAcentral is "partial 16S ribosomal RNA". It matches the Rfam family "Bacterial small subunit ribosomal RNA", at positions 334 to 799 of the family's 1533-position model. The record is from RNAcentral.